This 394-nucleotide ribosomal RNA is filed under the name uncultured bacterium. Its description in RNAcentral is "partial 16S ribosomal RNA". It matches the Rfam family "Bacterial small subunit ribosomal RNA", at positions 523 to 918 of the family's 1533-position model. The record is from RNAcentral.
AUACGUAGGGGACGAGCGUUGUCCGGAAUUACUGGGCGUAAAGGGCGCGCAGGCGGUAUAUCAAGUCAGCUGUCAAAGACUGGGGCUCAACCCUGGUAUGCGGUUGAAACUGAUAUGCUGGAGUGCUGUAGAGGCAAGUGGAAUUCCCUGAGUAGCGGUGAAAUGCGUAGAUAUUGGGAAGAACACCGGUGGCGAAGGCGACUUGCUGGGCAGCAACUGACGCUGAGGCGCGAAAGCCAGGGGAGCAAACGGGAUUAGAUACCCCGGUAGUCCUGGCCGUAAACGAUGAAUGCUAGGUGUGUGUGUAGAGAUACAUGCGUGCCGGAGUUAACGCGAUAAGCAUUCCGCCUGGGGAGUACGGUCGCAAGAUUGAAACUCAAAUGAAUUGACGGGG